Molecule: ribosomal RNA, 500 nt
Filed under: uncultured bacterium
Lineage: Bacteria
Description: bacterial SSU rRNA
Rfam family: Bacterial small subunit ribosomal RNA
Source: RNAcentral
CAGGCGUAACACAUGCAAGUCGAGCGAGAAAGGGGAAACCCCGGUAAAGCGGCGCACGGGUGAGUAACACGUAGGUAAUUUACCCCCAGGUGGUGGAUAACCUUCCGAAAGGAGGGCUAAUACAGCAUAAGACCACGUCUUCGCAAGGAGAUGAGGUCAAAGCCGGCCUCUUCACGAAAGCUGGCGCCAGGGGAUGAGCCUGCGGCCCAUCACGGUAGUUGGUAGGGUAAUGGCCUACCAAGCCUAAGACGGGUAGCUGGUCUGAGAGGAUGAUCAGCCACACUGGAACUGAGACACGGUCCAGACUCCUACGGGAGGCAGCAGUGGGGAAUCUUGCGCAAUGGGCGAAAGCCUGACGCAGCGACGCCGCGUGAGUGAUGAAGGCCUUCGGGUUGUAAAGCUCUGUGGGGAGGGACGAAUAAGUGCUGGCUAAUAUCCAGCGCGAUGACGGUACCUCUUUAGCAAGCACCGGCUAACUCUGUGCCAGCAGCCGCGGUAAU